This 253-nucleotide ribosomal RNA is filed under the name uncultured bacterium. RNAcentral describes it as "partial 16S ribosomal RNA". It matches the Rfam family "Bacterial small subunit ribosomal RNA", at positions 524 to 776 of the family's 1533-position model. The record is from RNAcentral.
GACGUAGGGGGCAAGCGUUGUCCGGAAUUAUUGGGCGUAAAGCGCUCGUAGGUGGAUCGAAAAGUCUGUGAGGAAAUCCCCGGGCUCAACCUGGGAACUGCAUUUGUGACUGUAGAGCUGGAGUACGGCAGAGGGGGAUGGAAUUCCGCGUGUAGCAGUGAAAUGCGUAGAUAUGCGGAGGAACACCGAUGGCGAAGGCAAUCCCCUGGGCCUGUACUGACGCUCAUGCACGAAAGCGUGGGGAGCAAACAGG